Molecule: transfer RNA, 77 nt
Filed under: Hafnia alvei
Lineage: Bacteria; Pseudomonadati; Pseudomonadota; Gammaproteobacteria; Enterobacterales; Hafniaceae
Also listed under: 12 other names
Description: tRNA-Met
Rfam family: tRNA
About the family: Transfer RNA (tRNA) molecules are approximately 80 nucleotides in length. Their secondary structure includes four short double-helical elements and three loops (D, anti-codon, and T loops).
Source: RNAcentral
CGCGGGGUGGAGCAGUCUGGUAGCUCGUCGGGCUCAUAACCCGAAGGUCGUCAGUUCAAAUCUGGCCCCCGCAACCA